This is a small nuclear RNA of Perognathus longimembris pacificus (Pacific pocket mouse), 103 nucleotides long. Lineage: Eukaryota; Metazoa; Chordata; Mammalia; Rodentia; Heteromyidae. The record is from RefSeq and is a predicted model, not a curated record.
GUACUUGCUUCGGCAGCACAUGUACUAAAGUUGGACCAAUACAGAGAUUAGCACAGCCCUCUGCACAGGUGGCACACAAAUUCAUAAAGAAUUCCAAGUUUAU